AGCUUAACCCAACGGGAGUGACGCGUAUGUGCAAGAACUCCUGAAAAAUGAUGGAAAUGCUUGGCUACAUGCUCUAGGACGUAACUUCCAAGGAAAACAAACUUUGAUUUUCCACAAUGGCUGUUCAAAUUAAGUCCAGGAAGUGACUCUCUGGCCACCACGCUGGUCACAUGCUGCCAUGCUUCCCCACCAUGAUGGAGUCUCCCUCUAAAACCACAACAAGUAGGAAGUGGAUUCAGACUUCCACGAAGGCCUAUGAAAAGGAAGGGUGAGACCAACUGUACGGUUAAACCAGGGCCUCCAAAUUCUUCAAAACCACCACCCGCCUCCUUGAAUGUGGAUUCCUGACCAUAUGGCACACUCAGCCAGUGCUUGGGCUGGGUCAUAAGCCAUCGGCAGCUGCUCUUUCUUGUUUCUUGGGACAUUGACUUUUGGAACCCAGCCGCCAUGUUGUGAGGGAGCCCAAGUAUCCAGUGAAGAAGCCACAGUGGGAUGAGCCAAGGCCUCACGCACACUAGGAAUGCGCUCGACCACUGAGCCACACUCUCAGCACUUGGUUAUAUUAUAGCUCUGGCUGGCCUGGAAUGAUGCAGCCAAAGCUUGCCUUGAGUUCCCGAUCCUCUUGCCAACACCUCCUCCUCCUAAAUGCAGGAGAGCAGGCUUGUGCCAUCACGCCCAGCUGGGUUUUGUUUCUCUUUAAUGCGUAUUUAAACAAAUAGGAGGCAUGAAAUGGUUUUACCUAUUCCUACCUAGUCAAG
Molecule: non-coding RNA, 758 nt
Organism: Peromyscus maniculatus bairdii (prairie deer mouse)
Lineage: Eukaryota; Metazoa; Chordata; Mammalia; Rodentia; Cricetidae
Source: RefSeq, a predicted model, not a curated record